Molecule: ribosomal RNA, 460 nt
Filed under: uncultured bacterium
Lineage: Bacteria
Description: partial 16S ribosomal RNA
Rfam family: Bacterial small subunit ribosomal RNA
Source: RNAcentral
CCUACGGGUGGCAGCAGUGAGGAAUAUUGGUCAAUGGGCGAGAGCCUGAACCAGCCAAGUCGCGUGAGGGAAGACGGUCCUAUGGAUUGUAAACCUCUUUUGCCGGGGAGCAAAAAGCGGUACGUGUACCGCAUCGAGAGUACCCGGAGAAAAAGCAUCGGCUAACUCCGUGCCAGCAGCCGCGGUAAUACGUAGGUGGCAAGCGUUAUCCGGAUUUAUUGGGCGUAAAGGGUACGCAGGCGGUCUUUUAAGUCUGAUGUGAAAGCCUUCGGCUUAACCGGAGUAGUGCAUUGGAAACUGGGGGACUUGAGAGCAGAAGAGGUGAGUGGAACGCCAUGUGUAGCGGUGAAAUGCGUAGAGAUAUGGAAGAACACCAGUGGCGAAAGCGGCGCUCUGGUCUGUAACUGACGCUGAGGUUCGAAAGCGUGGGUAGCAAACAGGAUUAGAUACCCCAGUAGUC